Long non-coding RNA from Cucumis sativus (cucumber), 1931 nucleotides. RefSeq lists it as uncharacterized. Lineage: Eukaryota; Viridiplantae; Streptophyta; Magnoliopsida; Cucurbitales; Cucurbitaceae. The transcript has 2 exons. The record is from RefSeq and is a predicted model, not a curated record.
AUACACAGACACAAAUUGGCACUUAUAAAAACCUUAGCUCAUGAAUGAAGAGGAAGUGGGUGAAGUGAGAAACCAAGAAAGGGAAGAAGUGGUGGGUUCAGUGAGCAAAUCAGUUGUAGGGCAGCCCCAUGUUGGGCAUGGCUUUGGAAUUACUUUGGUAACCCUUAAGUUUUUUUUUUUUUUUUAAUUGUUUCAAAUUAAGUCAUUUUUCUUUUCCUUUUUCUUACAGCAGUUUGUAUAAUAAUUGGUUUUGUCUUUGUCAAAGAAACAAAAACAAGUUUUCAAUUUUUUUCUUUUAAUUUGAAAGUUAAAUCUUGGUAAAAGUAGAUAGCAAAGCAAUAAAUUUAAACGUGGAAUACAAUACUAUAGACUUUAAUUUCAAAAACUAAAAAAUCAAAAUCAAAUGAUUACUAUAUAAGGUCUUGAUUAUUUGAAAUUUUAAGGUUAAUUCCAUAAACUUAGCCCGAUGGGGCUGCCCUGUGACUGCUUUUGGCUUAAUUUUGUAUCGAGAUUAAUCCCUAUGUGUCCUUAUGGCCUUAUUAAUGGGGCAUCCAAUCACAAGGGGAGAACGCCUGGAAGGUAGGAUUUGAAUUCAGAUCCCGACGUCUCCCUACGACUUAUCAACAUCAUCCUUACUUAUUUUAAAGGCUUGUUAGAGUGAAAGUUGCUCUCACAACCCAAUACAAGUCCUUUUAGCACGUUUUGUCCUCACUUUUUCUUUGCAGCUGUCCGUCUGUUCUAUUGCUCAGUUCUUGAUCUGCAGAUUCAAAGUUUCUGUCAGUGCUGAAAUUUUCAUUUAAGCGUAGCUGUUCCAACAAAAACUCUACAUAUUUUAGUUUCCAUUCAUGCCCAUCCCCAUGCCCUAUUAUUCGAAUAGGAUGGUAAAAUAGUGUGUGUGUAUGGCAAACAAAAAAAAAAAGAAAAGAAAAUCUACAGAGACUAAAUUGAAAAUACUAUAUAACUAAAGCUCAGUAAUAUAUAUAUACUUAAAAAUUUCAAGGUUUCUUUUAGGUAAGAGAUGGGUAUGGAAAUGGUGAAAAUUAAACAAGGUUGAUAUGCACCAAAUACGUAAGAUCAGAUGAAAAGGCAACCAACAUCUCUAACUCCAUGCAUAUAAAACACAAAUGUAUAUCUAACAGUGACACGUCAAACGUAAAUAAACGAUUAUUAAAAAAAAUGGUUCAUCAAACAAUGUUUAUUGAAGAAAAGCUUGAAUAUACUAUAAUAAACUAUAUAUUAUAUCAAUUGAAUUAAAAUAUAUAAAUUGUUAUAGAAGAACCCUUGAAAUAGUUUUUUAGCCUUUGGUUUAAUUUUAUGAAUGACAUUUUUUUCCCAUAAAAUUUUUGAAGAGACUCUUGCAAACAAGUUGCAUUAGAGGACAUUUGGAUUUGAUUAGGCAAUUUUUUUUUUUCAUUUUUAUUUCAAUGCCUUUAUAAAAAUUAUCUAAAAAAGCAUUCAUUUGUUAUAUAUACACAUAUAUAUUCUCCAAAAGAAGCGUUUUCACAUUUAAGUUUGUUUGUUUUGAUAUAAUCAAAGUGCUUUUAUUAUAGAAGAAGACUAUGAACUACAAUGAACUCUGGUUGCUGGAGUGAUCAAUAAAGUUGUUGUUGGAUGUCACACAUUAGAGACAAUCAUUGAAGUUGGCUGCCAGAAGUAGUCGUUGAAGUUAAUCAAGAGGUGGUCAUUUCACCAAGAUUGAGAGUUGGAGGUGGUCUUUGUUAGAGUUAGCCAUUAGAUCAGUUUUGUUGCAUAAGUGGGUUCGAAAGUUGGUUGUGACAAUCAAUCGUCAAAUGUUGGAUUUUUUUUUGAAUAAUUAGUUUGGGUGUUUGUUGCACGUUUAAUUGUGUAGCUUAAUUAGAUUUGUUCAAAGAUAUAAAGAGUCCAACAAAACUCAGUAUCAAUGUUAACCUAGUUAAGCAUAAUUAUUUUCA